AUAAGAGGUCCCGCCUGCCCUGUGACAUUGUUUAACGGCCGCGGUAUUAUGACCGUGCGAAGGUAGCGUAAUCACUUGUCUUUUAAUUGAAGACCUGUAUGAAAGGCAUCACGAGAGUUUACCUGUCUCUAUUUUCUAAUCAAUGAAAUUGAUUUCCCCGUGCAGAAGCGGGGAUAUAGUCAUAAGACGAGAAGACCCUAUGGAGCUUUAAACACUUAAGUUACUAUCUUACUUAUCAAUUAAUCUAAAGACCUAACCUCCCCUAAUAGUAGCCUAACUUAAUGUUUUCGGUUGGGGCGACCAAGGAGUAAAAGAAAACCUCCUUAUCGAUUGAGUAUUUUUACUUAAAAACCAGAACGACAGUUCUGAUCAAUAGAAUAUCUAACGAAUAAUGACCCAGGGCUACACCCUGAUCAAUGAACCAAGUUACCCUAGGGAUAACAGCGCAAUCCUUUCUAAGAGUCCAUAUCGCCGAAAGGGUUUACGACCUCGAUGUUGGAUCAGGACAUCCUAAUGGUGCAACCGCUAUUAAGGGUUCGUUUGUUCAACGAUUAAUAGUCC
Molecule: ribosomal RNA, 561 nt
Filed under: Raja clavata (thornback ray)
Lineage: Eukaryota; Metazoa; Chordata; Chondrichthyes; Rajiformes; Rajidae
Description: partial 16S ribosomal RNA
Rfam family: Bacterial large subunit ribosomal RNA
Source: RNAcentral